CCCUGUUUGUCAAAAACAUGUCUUCUUGCUAUUGAUUUGAAGUCGUGCCUGCCCAGUGAGGAGUUUAACGGCCGCGGUAUUUUGACCGUGCAAAGGUAGCAUAAUCAUUAGUCUUUUAAUUGGGGGCUGGAAUGAAUGGUUUGACGAAACAAUAACUGUCUCAAUAUUAUUGAUUGAAUUUUAUUUUUAAGUUAAAAAGCUUAAAUGGGAAUGGGGGACGAGAAGACCCUAUAGAUCUUUAUAAUAUACUUAUAAUUAAAUUGUUGGUUGUUAUUUAUUUAAUUUUGAGUAUAUUAUUUCGUUGGGGUGAUGAGAGAAUAAAUAAGCUUCUAUUUUUUUAAACUAUGAUGAUUGGUUUAUAUGAUCCUAUGUUAUGGAAUUGAGAGUAAGAUACCUUAGGGAUAACAGCGUAAUUUUAUUGGAGAGUUCAUAUCGAUAAUAAAGAUUGCGACCUCGAUG
Molecule: ribosomal RNA, 459 nt
Filed under: Loxoblemmus equestris
Lineage: Eukaryota; Metazoa; Arthropoda; Insecta; Orthoptera; Gryllidae
Description: partial 16S ribosomal RNA
Rfam family: Bacterial large subunit ribosomal RNA
Source: RNAcentral